GAGAAUAAUUUAAAGUCUGACCUGCCCAAUGAUUAUUUGAAUGGCUGCGGUAUUUUGACCGUACUAAGGUAGCAUAAUAAUUAGUUUUUUAAUUGAAAGCUGGUAUGAAUGGUUGGACGAGAAAAUAGCUGUCUCAAUUUAAUUUUAAUUAGAAUUUUAUUUUUAAGUUAAAAAGCUUAAAUGAAUUUAAAAGACGAGAAGACCCUAUAGAGUUUUAUAUUUUUUUAUUAUUGUAAAUUUAAAGAAUUUUUUUUUUUAUUAAUAAAGAAAUAUUUUGUUGGGGUGACAAAAAAAUUAAAAAAACUUUUUUUAUUUUAAAAACAUUGAUUUAUGAAUAAGUGAUCCAUUUAUUAUGAUUAAAAGAUUAAAUUACCUUAGGGAUAACAGCGUAAUUUUUUUUAAGAGUUCAUAUCGAAAAAAAAGAUUGCGACCUC
RNAcentral lists this ribosomal RNA (434 nucleotides) under Omorgus sp. YvdM-2007. RNAcentral describes it as "partial 16S ribosomal RNA". It matches the Rfam family "Bacterial large subunit ribosomal RNA", at positions 1838 to 2527 of the family's 2925-position model. Lineage: Eukaryota; Metazoa; Arthropoda; Insecta; Coleoptera; Trogidae. The record is from RNAcentral.